Molecule: transfer RNA, 75 nt
Filed under: Candidatus Woesearchaeota archaeon CG10_big_fil_rev_8_21_14_0_10_34_12
Lineage: Archaea; Nanobdellati; Candidatus Woesearchaeota
Description: tRNA-Arg
Rfam family: tRNA
About the family: Transfer RNA (tRNA) molecules are approximately 80 nucleotides in length. Their secondary structure includes four short double-helical elements and three loops (D, anti-codon, and T loops).
Source: RNAcentral
GCGCCCGUAGCUCAGCUUGGAUAGAGCACUGGCCUUCUAAGUCAGGGGUCGAAGGUUCAAAUCCUUCCGGGCGCG